ACUGAAGACAGUAUUGGCUGGCUCUGGCUAUAGGCUGAAAAAAGCAACUCUCAACAACGGAUAUCUUGGCUCCCGUAACGAUGAAGAACGCAGCGAAAUGCGAUACGUAGUGUGAAUUGCAGAAUUCCGUGAACCAUCGAAUCUUUGAACGCAAAUUGCGCUCGAGGCCUCGGCCAAGAGCAUGUCUGCCUCAGCGUCGGCCUACCCUCAACCACGUUGGAUCUGGCCGUCCGGUUUCCAGGUUGCCGGUCAGCUGAAAUACAUUCACGCUCU
Molecule: ribosomal RNA, 273 nt
Filed under: Trebouxia jamesii
Lineage: Eukaryota; Viridiplantae; Chlorophyta; Trebouxiophyceae; Trebouxiales; Trebouxiaceae
Description: partial 5.8S ribosomal RNA
Rfam family: 5.8S ribosomal RNA (bases 46-199)
About the family: 5.8S ribosomal RNA (5.8S rRNA) is a component of the large subunit of the eukaryotic ribosome. It is transcribed by RNA polymerase I as part of the 45S precursor that also contains 18S and 28S rRNA. Functionally, it is thought that 5.8S rRNA may be involved in ribosome translocation.
Source: RNAcentral